AAUAUAUUUUAUUAUGGUAAUAAAAUUUAUUAAUUAGACAAUUUAUAUGUAAAUUUUUGUGUGAAUAUAAGUAAUUUAAAAAAUAUUUAUUUUAAUAAUUCGCAGUAAUUAAUAUUAUUAAUUUAAGAAAUUAUGAAUUAGUGAUUUAAUUUAAUAUAGGUUUAUUUUGUGCCAGCAAUCGCGGUUAUACAAAAUAUAUAAAUAAAUUAUAUUAAAAAAAGUUAAAUAAAGUUAUUAAAUUUAAAUUUUAGUUAGUAUUAUAAAGUGAAAUUUUAAUAUUAUAUAAAUUUUAAUUAAUUAAGUUAUUAAUCUUAUAAAUUUUAUAAUAAACUAGGAUUAGAUACCCUAUUAUUAAAAUAUAAGAAUUAUUUUUAGAUUAGUAUUAAAUAUAUUUAUGAAAUUAAAAUAAUUUGGCGGUAUUUUAGUCUAUUCAGAGGAAUUUGUUUUAUAAUCGAUAUUCCGCGUUAUAUCUUACUUAUUUUAUUUAAUUUGUAUAUCGUUGUCAUUAGAAUAUUUUAUAAGAAAAAUAAUUUUCUUAAAUUAUUUAAAAUUUUAUGUCAAAUCAAGGUGCAGUUUAUAUUUAAGUAAAAAUGAAUUACAUUAAUAUAUAAUUAAAUGAAUUAAAAAUUGAAAAAUUUUUAUGAAGGUGGAUUUGAUCGUAAAUUUUAGGAGGGUAUAAAAUUGAUUAUAGCUCUAAAAUAUGUACAUAUCGCCCGUCGCUCUUAUUAUUAAAGUAAGAUAAGUCGUAACAAAGUAGAGUUACUGGAAAGUGUCUCUAGAUAGA
This 784-nucleotide non-coding RNA is filed under the name Trichopygomyia trichopyga. Lineage: Eukaryota; Metazoa; Arthropoda; Insecta; Diptera; Psychodidae. The record is from RNAcentral.